GGGCUCACACAAGCGGUGGAGCAUGUGGCUUAAUUCGAUGCAACGCGAAGAACCUUACCAGGGUUUGACAUCCUGCGAAUUUUCUGGGAAACCGGAAAGUGCCUUCGGGAGCGCAGUGACAGGUGGUGCAUGGCUGUCGUCAGCUCGUGUCGUGAGAUGUUGGUUAAGUCCCGCAACGAGCGCAACCCACGUCUUUAGUUGCCAGCAUUUAGUUGGGCACUCUAGAGAGACUGCCGGUGAUAAACCGGAGGAAGGUGUGGAUGACGUCAAGUCAUCAUGCCCCUUACAUCCUGGGCUACACACGUACUACAAUGCUACGGACAAAGGGCAGCAAGUUCGCGAGGACAAG
RNAcentral lists this ribosomal RNA (349 nucleotides) under uncultured bacterium. RNAcentral's name for it is "bacterial SSU rRNA". It matches the Rfam family "Bacterial small subunit ribosomal RNA", at positions 917 to 1267 of the family's 1533-position model. The record is from RNAcentral.